RNAcentral lists this small nucleolar RNA (152 nucleotides) under Penicillium antarcticum. Lineage: Eukaryota; Fungi; Ascomycota; Eurotiomycetes; Eurotiales; Aspergillaceae. The record is from RNAcentral.
AUCCGGCUUGAUAACUAGGCGGCCGGUCUCAACAACCUACGACGUCUGCCUUUUAAGUAGCCGGUAUAUUGAUCUGUGAAGAUCUUACACGUUUUCAAAGCGCUGUUAUGGCUUUUUCAGUAUUUGACGACUUUUAAAUCUUCGCAACAUAC